CCUACGGGAGGCAGCAGUGGGGAAUAUUGGGCAAUGGGCGCAAGCCUGACCCAGCAAUGCCGCGUGAAGGAAGAAGGCUUUCGGGUUGUAAACUUCUUUGACAGGGGAAGAGCAGAAGACGGUACCCUGAAAACAAGCCACGGCUAACUACGUACCAGCAGCCGCGGUAAUACGUAGGUGGCAAGCGUUGUCCGGAUUUACUGGGUGUAAAGGGCGUGUAGCCGGGAAGGCAAGUCAGAUGUGAAAUCUGGAGGCUCAACCUCCAAAUUGCAUUUGAAACUGUUUUUCUUGAGUACUGGAGAGGCAGACGGAAUUCCUUGUGUAGCGGAGAAAUGCGUAGAUAUAAGGAGGAACACCAGUGGCGAAGGCGGUCUGCUGGACAGCAACUGACGGUGAGGCGCGAAAGCGUGGGGAGCAAACAGGAUUAGAUACCCCAGUAGUC
RNAcentral lists this ribosomal RNA (442 nucleotides) under uncultured bacterium. Its description in RNAcentral is "partial 16S ribosomal RNA". It matches the Rfam family "Bacterial small subunit ribosomal RNA", at positions 338 to 795 of the family's 1533-position model. The record is from RNAcentral.